Molecule: ribosomal RNA, 3032 nt
Filed under: uncultured bacterium
Lineage: Bacteria
Description: bacterial SSU rRNA
Rfam family: Bacterial small subunit ribosomal RNA (bases 1-1513)
Source: RNAcentral
GAGUUUGAUCCUGGCUCAGGACGAACGCUGGCGGCGUGCUUAACACAUGCAAGUCGAGCGAGGCCUUUCCUUCGGGAGAGUGUCCUAGCGGCGAACGGGUGAGUAACACGUGGGCAACCUGCCCUCAGCUCUGGGAUAACUCCAAGAAAUUGGGGCUAAUACCGGAUAUGACCGCUGACCGCAUGGUCUGGUGGUGGAAAGAUUUAUCGGCUGGGGAUGGGCCCGCGGCCUAUCAGCUUGUUGGUGGGGUAGUGGCCUACCAAGGCGACGACGGGUAGCCGGCCUGAGAGGGUGACCGGCCACACUGGGACUGAGACACGGCCCAGACUCCUACGGGAGGCAGCAGUGGGGAAUAUUGCGCAAUGGGCGAAAGCCUGACGCAGCGACGCCGCGUGGGGGAUGACGGCCUUCGGGUUGUAAACCUCUUUCAGCAGGGACGAAGCGAAAGUGACGGUACCUGCAGAAGAAGCACCGGCCAACUACGUGCCAGCAGCCGCGGUAAUACGUAGGGUGCAAGCGUUGUCCGGAAUUAUUGGGCGUAAAGAGCUCGUAGGCGGUUUGUUGCGUCGGCUGUGAAAUCCCGAGGCUCAACCUCGGGUCUGCAGUCGAUACGAGCAAACUAGAGUGUUGCAGGGGAGACUGGAAUUCCUGGUGUAGCGGUGAAAUGCGCAGAUAUCAGGAGGAACACCGGUGGCGAAGGCGGGUCUCUGGGCAACAACUGACGCUGAGGAGCGAAAGCGUGGGGAGCGAACAGGAUUAGAUACCCUGGUAGUCCACGCCGUAAACGUUGGGCGCUAGGUGUGGGGCUCAUUCCACGAGUUCCGUGCCGCAGCUAACGCAUUAAGCGCCCCGCCUGGGGAGUACGGCCGCAAGGCUAAAACUCAAAGGAAUUGACGGGGGCCCGCACAAGCGGCGGAGCAUGUUGCUUAAUUCGAUGCAACGCGAAGAACCUUACUUAGGCUUGACAUGCACGGAAAUCCUCCAGAGAUGGUGGGUCCGUAAGGGCCGUGCACAGGUGGUGCAUGGUUGUCGUCAGCUCGUGUCGUGAGAUGUUGGGUUAAGUCCCGCAACGAGCGCAACCCUCGUUCUAUGUUGCCAGCGGAUAAUGCCGGGGACUCAUAGGAGACUGCCGGGGUCAACUCGGAGGAAGGUGGGGAUGACGUCAAAUCAUCAUGCCCCUUAUGUCUAGGGCUGCAAACAUGCUACAAUGGCCGGUACAAAGGGCUGCGAUACCGCGAGGUGGAGCGAAUCCCAAAAAGCCGGUCUCAGUUCGGAUUGGGGUCUGCAACUCGACCCCAUGAAGUUGGAGUCGCUAGUAACCGCAGAUCAGCAACGCUGCGGUGAAUACGUUCCCGGGCCUUGUACACACCGCCCGUCACGUCACGAAAGUCGGUAACGCCCGAAGCCGGUGGCCCAACCCUUGUGGAGGGAGCCGUCGAAGGCGGGAUCGGCGAUUGGGACGAAGUCGUAACAAGGUAGCCGUACCGGAAGGUGCGGCUGGAUCACCUCCUUUCGAGUUUGAUCCUGGCUCAGGACGAACGCUGGCGGCGUGCUUAACACAUGCAAGUCGAACGGUGACCCUCGGAGCUUGCUCUGAGGUGGUCAGUGGCGAACGGGUGAGUAACACGUGAGUAACCUGCCCCAGACUCUGGAAUAACCCCGGGAAACCGGAGCUAAUACCGGAUACGAGACGGAGCCGCAUGGCUACCGUCUGGAAAGUUUUUCGGUCUGGGAUGGACUCGCGGCCUAUCAGCUUGUUGGUGAGGUAGUGGCUCACCAAGGCGACGACGGGUAGCCGGCCUGAGAGGGCGACCGGCCACACUGGGACUGAGACACGGCCCAGACUCCUACGGGAGGCAGCAGUGGGGAAUAUUGCACAAUGGGCGAAAGCCUGAUGCAGCGACGCCGCGUGAGGGAUGACGGCCUUCGGGUUGUAAACCUCUUUCAGCAGGGAAGAAGCGAAAGUGACGGUACCUGCAGAAGAAGCACCGGCUAACUACGUGCCAGCAGCCGCGGUAAUACGUAGGGUGCGAGCGUUGUCCGGAAUUAUUGGGCGUAAAGAGCUUGUAGGCGGUUUGUCGCGUCUGCUGUGAAAUUUCGGGGCUCAACCCCGAACUUGCAGUGGGUACGGGCAGACUAGAGUGUGGUAGGGGAGACUGGAAUUCCUGGUGUAGCGGUGAAAUGCGCAGAUAUCAGGAGGAACACCGAUGGCGAAGGCAGGUCCCUGGGCCACUACUGACGCUGAGAAGCGAAAGCAUGGGGAGCGAACAGGAUUAGAUACCCUGGUAGUCCAUGCCGUAAACGUUGGGAACUAGGUGUGGGUCUCAUUCCACGAGAUCCGUGCCGCAGCUAACGCAUUAAGUUCCCCGCCUGGGGAGUACGGCCGCAAGGCUAAAACUCAAAGGAAUUGACGGGGGCCCGCACAAGCGGCGGAGCAUGCGGAUUAAUUCGAUGCAACGCGAAGAACCUUACCAAGGCUUGACAUAUACCGGAAACAUCUGGAGACAGGUGCCCCGCAAGGUCGGUAUACAGGUGGUGCAUGGUUGUCGUCAGCUCGUGUCGUGAGAUGUUGGGUUAAGUCCCGCAACGAGCGCAACCCUCGUUCUAUGUUGCCAGCGCGUAAUGGCGGGGACUCAUAGGAGACUGCCGGGGUCAACUCGGAGGAAGGUAGGGAUGACGUCAAAUCAUCAUGCCCCUUAUGUCUUGGGCUUCACGCAUGCUACAAUGGCCGGUACAAAGGGCUGCGAAACCGCAAGGUGGAGCGAAUCCCAAAAAACCGGUCUCAGUUCGGAUUGGGGUCUGCAACUCGACCCCAUGAAGUCGGAGUCGCUAGUAAUCGCAGAUCAGCAACGCUGCGGUGAAUACGUUCCCGGGCCUUGUACACACCGCCCGUCAAGUCACGAAAGUCGGUAACACCCGAAGCCGGUGGCCCAACUCUUUGAGAGGGAGCCGUCGAAGGUGGGACUGGCGAUUGGGACUAAGUCGUAACAAGGUAGCCGUACCGGAAGGUGCGGCUGGAUCACCUCCUUUCU